CCGGCGACCGGCGCACGGGUGAGUAACACGUAUGGAACCGUGCCCGCAGCAGGGGGAUAAGCGGAAGAAAUUCCGUCUAAUACCGCGUAACAACGUUGGGAGGCAUCUCCCGAUGUUUAAAGAUUUAUCGGCUGCGGAUGGCCAUGCGGCGCAUUAGCUAGUCGGCGGGGUAACGGCCCACCGAGGCGACGAUGCGUAGGGGUUCUGAGAGGAAGGUCCCCCACACUGGUACUGAGACACGGACCAGACUCCUACGGAAGGCAGCAG
Molecule: ribosomal RNA, 267 nt
Filed under: uncultured bacterium
Lineage: Bacteria
Description: partial 16S ribosomal RNA
Rfam family: Bacterial small subunit ribosomal RNA
Source: RNAcentral